RNAcentral lists this ribosomal RNA (280 nucleotides) under uncultured bacterium. Its description in RNAcentral is "partial 16S ribosomal RNA". It matches the Rfam family "Bacterial small subunit ribosomal RNA", at positions 506 to 785 of the family's 1533-position model. The record is from RNAcentral.
UGCCAGCAGCCGCGGUAAUACGGAGGGUGCAAGCGUUGUUCGGAAUUAUUGGGCGCAAAGCGCGUGUAGGCGGCUUGGCAAGUCGGGUGUGAAAUCCCGGGGCUCAACCCCGGAACUGCACUCGAAACUGCUUGGCUAGAGUCCCGGAGAGGAAGGCGGAAUUCCAGGUGUAGAGGUGAAAUUCGUAGAUAUCUGGAGGAACACCUGUGGCGAAGGCGGCCUUCUGGACGGUGACUGACGCUGAGACGCGAAAGCGUGGGGAGCAAACAGGAUUAGAUAC